CAGCAGCCACGGUAAUACGUAGGGUGCGAGCGUUAAUCGGAAUUACUGGGCGUAAAGCGUGCGCAGGCGGUUAUAUAAGACAGAUGUGAAAUCCCCGGGCUCAACCUGGGACCUGCAUUUGUGACUGUAUAGCUAGAGUACGGUAGAGGGGGAUGGAAUUCCGCGUGUAGCAGUGAAAUGCGUAGAUAUGCGGAGGAACACCGAUGGCGAAGGCAAUCCCCUGGACCCGUACUGACGCUCAUGCACGAAAGCGUGGGGAGCAAACAGGAUUAGAUACCCCAGUAGUCCCUGUCUCUUAUAC
This 301-nucleotide ribosomal RNA is filed under the name uncultured bacterium. RNAcentral describes it as "partial 16S ribosomal RNA". It matches the Rfam family "Bacterial small subunit ribosomal RNA", at positions 509 to 807 of the family's 1533-position model. The record is from RNAcentral.